RNAcentral lists this ribosomal RNA (278 nucleotides) under uncultured bacterium. RNAcentral's name for it is "partial 16S ribosomal RNA". It matches the Rfam family "Bacterial small subunit ribosomal RNA", at positions 506 to 784 of the family's 1533-position model. The record is from RNAcentral.
UGCCAGCAGCCGCGGUAAUACGUAAGUUGCAAGCGUUAUCCGGAUUUAUUGGGCAUAAAGAGUGCGUAGGCGGUAUUUUAAGUCAGAUGUUAAAUCCCACAGCUCAACUGUGGUCCGCAUUUGAAACUGGAAUACUAGAGACUAGGAGAGGAAAGUGGAACUCACAGUGUAGCGGUGAAAUGCGUAGAUAUUGUGAGGAACACCAGUGGCGAAGGCGGCUUUCUGGACUAGUUCUGACGCUGAGGCACGAAAGCAUGGGGAGCGAACGGGAUUAGAUA